GAUGAAGAACGUAGCGAAAUGCGAUAAGUAGUGUGAAUUGCAGAAUUCAGUGAAUCAUCGAAUCUUUGAACGCACAUUGCGCCCCUUGGUAUUCCAUGGGGCAUGCCUGUUCGAGCGUCAUUGCUGCCCUCAAGCACGGCUUGUGUGUUGGGCCCCGUCCUCCGAUCCCGGGGGACGGGCCCGAAAGGCAGCGGCGGCACCGCGUCCGGUCCUCGAGCGUAUGGGGCUUUGUCACCCGCUCUGUAGGCCCGGCCGGCGCUUGCCGAUCAACCCAAAUUUUUUAUCCAGGUUGACCUCGGAUCAGGUAGGGAUACCCGCUGAACUUAAGCAUAUCAAUAAGCGGAGGA
RNAcentral lists this unclassified non-coding RNA (347 nucleotides) under soil metagenome. RNAcentral's name for it is "partial contains 5.8S ribosomal RNA, internal transcribed spacer 2, and large subunit ribosomal RNA". The stretch from base 1 to 120 matches the Rfam family "5.8S ribosomal RNA", at positions 35 to 154 of the family's 154-position model. The record is from RNAcentral.